RNAcentral lists this long non-coding RNA (288 nucleotides) under Lathyrus oleraceus (garden pea). RNAcentral's name for it is "Pisum sativum (pea) long non-coding RNA (PSAT_LNC041186)". Lineage: Eukaryota; Viridiplantae; Streptophyta; Magnoliopsida; Fabales; Fabaceae. The record is from RNAcentral.
GGCACAGGAACGAUGUUGGCCACCCACGGUGGAUAACUUGUAACAGCCAGAAAACCCGCAUCCCACUGCUUCUGAACCUCUUCCUUGAUCUUAGUUGCCAUGUCAGGACUCGUUCUACGAAGCUUCUGCUUGACCGAAGGACAUCCUUCUCUAAGAGGUAAUCGAUGCACCACAAUGUCUGUAUCUAACCCAGGCAUAUCUUGAUAUGACCAGGCGAAUAUCUCCACAUAUUCUCUCAGCAUCUCAAUCAGCCUCCUCUUGACAGAGUCCUCUAAAGCAGCCCCAAUC